This 207-nucleotide ribosomal RNA is filed under the name uncultured bacterium. Its description in RNAcentral is "partial 16S ribosomal RNA". It matches the Rfam family "Bacterial small subunit ribosomal RNA", at positions 568 to 774 of the family's 1533-position model. The record is from RNAcentral.
UGCGUAGGCGGCUUGGUAAGUCAGAUGUGAAAUCCUGGGGCUCAACCUCGGAACUGCAUUUGAUACUGCCAGGCUAGAGUACUGGAGGGGAGACUGGAAUUUACGGUGUAGCAGUGAAAUGCGUAGAUAUCGUAAGGAAGGCCAGUGGCGAAGGCGAGUCUCUGGACAGUAACUGACGCUGAGGCACGAAGGCUAGGGGAGCAAACG